RNAcentral lists this unclassified non-coding RNA (200 nucleotides) under soil metagenome. RNAcentral's name for it is "partial contains internal transcribed spacer 2 and large subunit ribosomal RNA". The record is from RNAcentral.
CCUGUUCGAGCGUCAUUUAAACCAAUCCAGCUUGCUGGUCUUGGGCUCUGCCUUCCGGCAGGCCUUAAAAUCAGUGGCGGCGCAUCUAGCUCUGAGCGUAGUAACUUUCUCGCUAUAGGGUCCUAGGUGGUAGCUUGCCAGCCAACCUCAAAUUAUCAAUGGUUGACCUCGGAUCAGGUAGGGAUACCCGCUGAACUUAA